Molecule: ribosomal RNA, 443 nt
Filed under: uncultured bacterium
Lineage: Bacteria
Description: partial 16S ribosomal RNA
Rfam family: Bacterial small subunit ribosomal RNA
Source: RNAcentral
CCUACGGGAGGCAGCAGUGGGGAAUAUUGGGCAAUGGGCGCAAGCCUGACCCAGCAACGCCGCGUGAAGGAAGAAGGCUUUCGGGUUGUAAACUUCUUUUCUCGGGGACGAAGGAAGUAACGUUACCUGAGGAGUAAGCCACGGCUACCUGCGUACCAACAACCGCGUUAAUACGUAGGUGGCAAUCUUUAACCGGAUUGAUUGGGUGUAAAGGGCGUGUAGGCGGGGGAGCAAGUCAGAUGUGAAAACGCAGGGCUCAACCCUGGGACUGCAUGUGAGACUGUGUUUCUUGAGUGCUGGAGAGGCAAUCGGAAUUCCGGGUGUAGCGGUGAAAUGCGUAGAUAGACGGAGGAAAACUAGUGGCGAAGGCGGAUUGCUGGACAGUAACUGACGCUGAGGCGCGAAAGCGUGGGGAGCAAACAGGAUUAGAUACCCUAGUAGUC